GGCUAGGUAGCUCAGUGGUAGACUUGGAGCACCUGGUAUAUAUCCAAGGAGGCCUGGGUUCAACCCCCAGUCUGGCCA
Non-coding RNA from Russula brevipes, 78 nucleotides. Lineage: Eukaryota; Fungi; Basidiomycota; Agaricomycetes; Russulales; Russulaceae. The record is from the annotation of a GenBank genome assembly.